This 1001-nucleotide ribosomal RNA is filed under the name Cervidellus doorsselaeri. RNAcentral's name for it is "eukaryotic LSU rRNA". It matches the Rfam family "Eukaryotic large subunit ribosomal RNA", at positions 104 to 927 of the family's 3401-position model. The record is from RNAcentral. Lineage: Eukaryota; Metazoa; Nematoda; Chromadorea; Rhabditida; Cephalobidae.
AGAGCCCAGCGCUAAAUCUUUUUGCUCUAACGGGCGAAGAGAGGUGUAGCGUAUAGGAGGCGAUUCUCCUCGAUGGCUGUCGACUUAAAUCCCCCAUGACUGGGGUUCCAUAGAGGGUGAUAGGCCCGUUCAGUCGAUGGCCGUAGAGGAUUCCGUUCUCCUUGGAGUCGGGUUGUUUGGAAACGCAGCCCAAAUUGGGUGGUAAACUCCAUCUAAGGCUAAAUACGGCCACGAAACCGAUAGCAAACAAGUACCGUGAGGGAAAGUUGAAAAGUACUUUGAAGAGAGAGUUCAAGAGGACGUGAAACCGGUAGGAUGGAAACGGAUAGAGCCAACGAACAAGCCCGUAUUCAGCUAGUCGGYUGCGCACGGYCUAGUUGAUUCGUCAGUCUUGACGUUCGAUUGGAUGCGGUGUGCGAUUGGCUAGUGCAUUUGCGGGUGAUGUGCGCUGAGGCGUACGGCGGUGACCUGCGAACCGCGACUAGAGGACUUCGCUUYRCGGCGUAGAAACCUGGUCUGCGGCUAGUAGCGUUGUUUGCUGCUGUGCGUAUYUAUUGGCUAGGUGUCUUCGCGUUGCCACGUGGCGGAGGCUAGUCCACUGGUCGGUCGCGUGCGACUUGAUCUUUGGAUUGGUCCCCGUUGCGGGGUAGCGCCCUAGUUGAACCUCGGUGUCGAAGUUGGUCAUCUCUCCGACCCGUCUUGAAACACGGACCAAGGAGUCUAGCGUAUGCGCGAGUCAUUGGGUGUUGAAAACCCAUAGGCGAAAUGAAAGUGAAGGUCYUCGUAUGGGGACUGAUAUGCGAUCCGUUGUGCUACGGCAUACGCGGAGCAGCAUAGCCCCGUCUAUGCGGCUUGCCGUUGGGCGGAGGUAGAGCGUAUUCGCUGGUACCCGAAAGAUGGUGAACUAUGCCUGAGCAGGAUGAAGCCAGAGGAAACUCUGGUGGAGGUCCGAAGCGCUUCUGACGUGCAAAUCGAUCGUCUGACUUGGGUAUAGGGGCGAA